AGUCACCUAGGGGGUGACAGAGCACAUCUGUGUGUGUGUGUGUGUGUGUGUGUGUGUGUGUGUGUGUGUGUGUGUGUGUGUCUGAUAUUUCCAGAGACAAUCAGAUGCCGAGGGAUCUGACCCAGUCAAGAUUCAUCUCUUGAUGAAUUCAUAACACAAUGACUGAGCGGUGAAGAGAGUUGGGGGUAGGGCCCAUUGGGAGCACUAGGUUCCUGGGGGUUUCAAAUUAUUUAUACUGAAGCCACACACAAGGCAAGGAGGCAGAAGCACAAGAAUAUAAUCUCUCUGAAAGGAGAUGGGGACCUAUUAACCUUGAAAAACAGAGUUCCCGAGACUGAUACUGAAUUUUAAGAGAUCCAGCAACCAGUCCUCCACCACCCUCAACCCCAGAUGAUGGGACAGGAGGUUCUCAGAGGUCCUUCUGGCUGUAUGAGAGGAGCGAUCAAAUGAACAGGAACUGAAUGAUCAAAGAAGGGGUAGAUUGAUUUCUACAACGGAGGAGAGAGGAUAGGUCAGUGAAGACAGGAAGCAUCACUGGAUCCUUCGGCAUAGAGGAACCCUUGAGUGUGUGUCUUCUUUCUGUUUGCCUCCUCCUCUCUGCAUCUGUCUGAGGUUGAGCUGCCUAGAUUCCUGCAGAACCAAGGUCACGGGAAAGGUCUUGAGGCUCACAGGGUCAGAGCUGCACACCUCCUUGGAAGACACCAGGAUUUGCUCUCAUUCCACAGAUGACCCAAGAGCUCCUAGACUUGUCUAGAAGACACGUGGAGAACCAGAAUGACAAGGCCUGCUCCUGUGUAUGUGUCCUAAAGGCACUUCCUGUCUGGACUAGUGCAGGAGAUCAGAGUCUCAAAUUCAAGAGCAAGAUAAAUAACCUAUAGAGGGGGAACUUCUUGGAUGAGGUCAACAAGCACCCACAAUUCCUUCAAAGGACAAUGAUCAUGGUUUGGACGGUCAUGACUUUUUGUGGAACAGCAGAGCAGGGAAAGAGUAUGCUUUCUGCUAAAAUCGGCAACAUCAUCUCCUCUGGGAACUCUUAAGAAGCCUGUUACCUGACCUCUUCACAGCCGCACAAACCCAGUCGCCAAUAUUUGCAUACUUUCUCCAAGGACGCAGUUCCCCCGGGACAGUUCAUAAAUCCACAUCUUGGGAAAUGUUCAUAGGAUGCUACAAACUAAACAGGGCUUUGUUAAAUAAAGCUGGGGUGUACUGAU
Molecule: long non-coding RNA, 1211 nt
Organism: Rattus norvegicus (Norway rat)
Lineage: Eukaryota; Metazoa; Chordata; Mammalia; Rodentia; Muridae
Source: RefSeq, a predicted model, not a curated record